Molecule: long non-coding RNA, 770 nt
Filed under: Monodelphis domestica (gray short-tailed opossum)
Lineage: Eukaryota; Metazoa; Chordata; Mammalia; Didelphimorphia; Didelphidae
Description: lncRNA (ENSMODG00000032652.2)
Source: RNAcentral
GUUAAAUGUAAUAGAACUACUGGCUAUUGGUCUAAGCUACUUGCCCUGAUAAUUCAGCCACAGAAUUAGUCCUGAACUCGGGGCUAGAACCAAGAACUUUUUUCCCACUAUUGAUGUUACACAGCUACUAUUUAUUUCAAUGUGCUCUCCUUACCCAAAAUGUAGCCCAUGAUUCAAACUUGUUACUCUUCAUGUCAAGUUCAUUUCUCAGGCCUUGUUGGAUCUGUGACCAGUCUUUGGAGUAAGAAUACCAAGGUUCUUGGAGCCACAAGUGAGAGUUGGGUCACAGGUGAAUGCCAGUGAUGGAUGAGCAGCCCUAAAAAUGGUAUGGCAAGUUUCAGACCACAUCUAGUCAUGCCCCAAUUGAUGGACACCCCUUCAAUUUCCAGUUGCUUGCCACCACAAAAAGGAGCUGUCAUAAAUAUUUUUGGUCAGCACUGGUUGGACUACGUGGACACUGGGGAAAGUAACCAACCAGGUGGCACUAAUUGGCCAAAUCCUAAUUAAAACAAAACAAAAAAUAACUUUGAUCCAAAUAGCCUCCCAUUUUUAAAGAAUUUGAAGUCUAUUUUCUUAAUCAUGAAAUGAGAGAAUGAGACUCAGUGAUGUCUAUAUUUCAUUCCACUUUGAGUCUACAUUCAUUAUCACAUAUCUGAGUUGAAUUUUACAUAGCUAUCUUCCUUAGGUAUGCAUAAACAAAUUUGCCUGGAAAAGCAGUCUUGCUCAACAGUUGCAAUAAAUUUAGAAACUAUAAACUUGCCUAGAACUAU